Molecule: transfer RNA, 57 nt
Filed under: Viola acuminata
Lineage: Eukaryota; Viridiplantae; Streptophyta; Magnoliopsida; Malpighiales; Violaceae
Also listed under: 14 other names
Description: partial tRNA-Leu
Source: RNAcentral
AAAAUCCGUCGACUUUUUAAAUCGUGAGGGUUCAAGUCCCUCUAUCCCCAAAAAAGG